This 2750-nucleotide long non-coding RNA is filed under the name Zea mays. Its description in RNAcentral is "long non-coding RNA (ZMAY_LNC002161)". Lineage: Eukaryota; Viridiplantae; Streptophyta; Magnoliopsida; Poales; Poaceae. The record is from RNAcentral.
GAGAUCAAAACCUAACCCCACAUCUAAUCCAACCUCUAAUCCUUCAAUCCACAUGAUCCACAACUGUAACACCCGGAUUUUGGGGCACCAAAACCCAGGCACGAACAUAAUCACCAGGUGUGCUAGGACCAAGUCUCACACAUAUGAUGAAUCAUGGCAAAGGAUCGAAUGUCACAUUUUUACCACAUAACAGGAGUUCUAUACAAAAUAAAUAAAUAAUUACAUUAUAAGGAGACAACGGUCCAGCAACCCAAAGUUGACUGGGAGACGACGGCCUAGACCUCUCACGAACACAUCGCAGCAUCCUCCAUGCGCCUCAUCCUGCGGUACCUGUUCUUGACCUGUGGGGGGUGUGAGACAGCAAGAGUGAGCUCACAUACGUUCAUCGCUCAACAAGUUGUGGGGAAUAAUGUGCAUGAACUCGCCAAAGGUGGGAGCUCACGUGAAGUGUAAGGCUUACCAAAGGGAAUGGUUAGAGCUGAGCAUUGCUUUUAAAGUUGGUCAAAAUUUUAUUAGCAAUUACUAAGUAUAAGUAAAUACCAACCCAAUUAAGUAGUAGAACAAAAGUAACAACAUCACCUGUGAUGCAAUGCAUAUGACAAAAUUGAAUUUAGUUCCAUAUGUUAAUCAUGUGAGGGUCCGAGCUGCUCAUGACCGUGAGCACGGCUAGUAUACCAGUUUUACACUCUGCAGAGGUUGCACAUCUUUACCCACAAGUCAUGUUACCCAUCUGCCAAGGGAUCGCGACUUCCCAUACACCUCUACCGAGGAGGCGAGGCAGGGUAACACUACGAGGCCUUUACAAAGUUCCACUAGCUUCAGAAAACCCGCCGCCAUCGCAGCAAAAUCAACCAAGGACCUCCCUACACUGACCACUCCCCUACUGCCCUUGCCCCUUUCGGGUAAGGUAGUCUUCCACUAGCUUUCCUAAUUAAUCAGCCAAGGGCGUCCCAUUAAACCCUUGUGGUAGCACUGUUUUCUCGGGUGGUCGCUCCAUGUUCCAAUUAACAUAAUGAUCUUAUCAUGAACAGUAAUAAUAAAUAGAUAAUAAAAGUGUAAUCAUGAAUAAUGUAUCUUCAUACCCAAAACCACAUAAAGCACUAGCAAGUACUACCCAAAAAGUUCAGUGGUAAACAAGGCAUAAAGAUAGACAAACUAGGGUAACCUAUUAGGUCCCAUCAAAAUUAACCUAUGCAGAUCAUUAUGAUUAAUUAGAACAUGAGUGGGUAAAAGAAGUGAUCAAGGGCACAACUUGCCUGGGACUUGAGAUUUCCAGGUACCAGGAUGAUCUUCAGGUGACUCGUGACCUCACGCUAAACGUAGCAAUACAGACAAACAUGGUAUAGGCAAAAAUUAACAUUACACCAAACAUAAGAAUAAACUGCAUGAUAAUAAUCUACGCGUCAUAACGAGAUCGUAGAAACAAGAACCACUAAAUUCGGAGCUACGGUUAUGAAUUUUCGAAAUUAUUUAGUGCUUAGAAUAGAUUAAUCCUAAUGAACAAUUUUAAUUCAAGUUUCAUGGCUAAACAGUGUUACUGGUUGGUAGACAAUAUUAAUACAAAAUUAGUGAAACUGGAAUGGAUCAAUUCGGACUUAAUAUGAAUUUUCUACGAAUUAAACAAGUUUCUAGUAUUAUUUUUGUAUUGAAAAUCAAAUUCUAAAUUCAUUUAUCUGAUUUUCCCGGAACUCAGGACUGGGCGCACAAUAUUGAAAAGCGUGGGGACUAAUCGGCAAAGAUUCCUAAGACUCAGAAUCAUCCAACGCAGGACUGUGGGUUGAUUCCAAUAAAAUCCGAGGGCUCUUAAGAAAAACUCCCAUACCGAAAGGGUAUGCUUCAAUCCUAGUCAUCCAAUCAUGGACCAAAGGCUCAAAUUAGAUUGGGACUGGUAUGAACCGGUAUCCACUCCCCGCCAUCAGAUCAAGCAUCAACGGUAUGGAUUAAACCCGACCCUCUUCAAACUCGCGAACAACCCCAGCCGCUAGAUCACGAUCCAACCGCCAGCGCAACCGCUGGCCAAUCGGUUAAUCUGCUUCUAAUCUAGGCCCUCCAUCCAGGAUCCGACGGCGGCGCGGUCGUCACCAUACUCCAGGUCAACUCCCAACACCGGCGAGCGUCUGGGUGGUGGUGGCCUCGCCGGGGGAAGACCCGUUCCACACACCGAGCCCCCCAAACUCCGACUGGACAUGCUCUAGACAAAGCUACGAUUGCACCCAAGCUAGGCGACCCCUCACACGCCAAAUCACAAUGGGCCGGCGCCAAUCUACCUCCCAUGGCGGCCCCGCGACGCGGACGAGGUCCGGUGAGCAAUCACCGGCAAACCGUUGAACCAACUGCUACCCGGCCGGUGUCACACGAUCCCACGGAUGCACCAGAUAGACCAGGGUACUUACCAGAGAUCAGGAUGGCGCCAGGAAGAGCGUCCUCGCUCCACCGCGGCACGGCGUCGAAGCCCCACUCCGGUGAAGGAUUCUCGUUCCCCCCGGGGCCUACUUCCAGUUCGGGCGAACCACGCACGGGCCCGAAUGACUACACUGUCACGACCGGAUCGCGUGGUGAGGCUCGAGCGACGGCGGCGAUAUCUGGGGUCUUGCGGCGGCGAUUCCUUCUCCCUCACUCCCCACGGCUGCGGCAGAGGUUAGAUUUCUAGGGCUUGGGUUGGGGCUCGAGAUCCCAGAGGCUCAAUAUAUGAGGUACGGGCAGAGAUCGUGUGGUUUGGCCGGUAACGGAAUCCCCCGGAGCUUGCGGCG